This 502-nucleotide ribosomal RNA is filed under the name uncultured Sphingobacteriales bacterium. Its description in RNAcentral is "partial 16S ribosomal RNA". It matches the Rfam family "Bacterial small subunit ribosomal RNA", at positions 903 to 1382 of the family's 1533-position model. Lineage: Bacteria; Pseudomonadati; Bacteroidota; Sphingobacteriia; Sphingobacteriales. The record is from RNAcentral.
CCUUGCCAGCCCGCUCAGAAACUCAAAUGAAUUGACGGGGGCCCCGCACAAGCGGUGGAGCAUGUGGUUUAAUUCGAUGAUACGCGAGGAACCUUACCUGGGCUCAAAUGUAUGUUGACGUAUUCUGAAAGGGAUACUUCUUCGGACAAUAUACAAGGUGCUGCAUGGUUGUCGUCAGCUCGUGCCGUGAGGUGUCGGGUUAAGUCCCAUAACGAGCGCAACCCCUAUCAUUAGUUGCCAUCAGGUCAAGCUGGGGACUCUAAUGAAACUGCCUACGCAAGUAGUGAGGAAGGUGGGGAUGACGUCAAAUCAGCACGGCCCUUACGUCCAGGGCUACACACGUGCUACAAUGGUCGGUACAAAGGGUUGCCAAGCCGCGAGGUGGAGCUAAUCCCAUAAAACCGAUCGUAGUCCGGAUCGCAGUCUGCAACUCGACUGCGUGAAGUCGGAAUCGCUAGUAAUCGUGAAUCAGAAUGUCACGGUGAAUACGUUCCCGGGCCUU